This 509-nucleotide ribosomal RNA is filed under the name uncultured bacterium. RNAcentral describes it as "partial 16S ribosomal RNA". It matches the Rfam family "Bacterial small subunit ribosomal RNA", at positions 33 to 541 of the family's 1533-position model. The record is from RNAcentral.
GACGAACGCUGGCGGCGUGCUUAACACAUGCCAGUCGAACGGAAAGGCCCUGCUUUUGUGGGGUGCUCGAGUGGCGAACGGGUGAGUAACACGUGAGUAACCUGCCCUUGACUUUGGGAUAACUUCAGGAAACUGGGGCUAAUACCGGAUAGGAGCUCCUGCUGCAUGGUGGGGGUUGGAAAGUUUCGGCGGUUGGGGAUGGACUCGCGGCUUAUCAGCUUGUUGGUGGGGUAGUGGCUUACCAAGGCUUUGACGGGUAGCCGGCCUGAGAGGGUGACCGGCGGCGCAGGGGAGGGGAAUGGGCGGAGCAGCGUGGGGGCGGCAGAGGUGGGGAGUAGAGCACAGGGGGCGGAAGCGGGAUGAGGCAGCGCGGGGGGGGGGAUGACGGGCUUCGGGUUGUAAGCGGCGCUCCGGCGUGACGAGGGGUGAGGGACGGUAAGGGGAAAAGAAGCAUCGGACAACGACGGGACAGAGGCCGCGGUAAUAGUCGGAAGAGCAGACGUCUGACC